Molecule: transfer RNA, 72 nt
Filed under: Bos taurus (domestic cattle)
Lineage: Eukaryota; Metazoa; Chordata; Mammalia; Artiodactyla; Bovidae
Rfam family: tRNA
About the family: Transfer RNA (tRNA) molecules are approximately 80 nucleotides in length.
Source: Rfam by way of RNAcentral
UCCCUAGUGGCUCAGAUGGUAAAGCGUCUGCCUGCAAUGCGGAAGCCCUGGGUUCCAUCCCUGGGUCGGGAA